Molecule: ribosomal RNA, 450 nt
Filed under: uncultured bacterium
Lineage: Bacteria
Description: partial 16S ribosomal RNA
Rfam family: Bacterial small subunit ribosomal RNA
Source: RNAcentral
CCUACGGGGGGCUGCAGUGGGGAAUUUUGGACAAUGGGCGAAAGCCUGAUCCAGCAAUGCCGCGUGAGUGAAGAAGGCCUUCGGGUUGUAAAGCUCUUUUGUUUGGGAAGAAAUCCCUAAGGAUAAUACCCUUGGGGGAUGACGGUACCAAAAGUAUAAGCACCGGCUAACUACGUGCCAGCAGCCGCGGUAAUACGUAGGGGGCAUACGUUACUCGGAAUUACCGGGCGCGGAGUGGUAGCAGGGGGGUGAAAUCCCCGAGCUCAACUUGGGAACUGCACUUGUGACUGCAAGACUAGAGUGUGUCAGAGGGAGGUAGAAUUCCACGUGUAGCAGUGAAAUGCGUAGAUAUGUGGAGGAAUAUCAGUGGCGAAGGCGGCCUCCUGGGAUAACACUGACGCUCAUGUACGAAAGCGUGGGGAGCAAACAGGAUUAGAUACCCCAGUAGUC